Felis catus (domestic cat) is the source of this 73-nucleotide transfer RNA. It matches the Rfam family "tRNA". Rfam says of the family: Transfer RNA (tRNA) molecules are approximately 80 nucleotides in length. Their secondary structure includes four short double-helical elements and three loops (D, anti-codon, and T loops). Further hydrogen bonds mediate the characteristic L-shaped molecular structure. tRNAs have two regions of fundamental functional importance: the anti-codon, which is responsible for specific mRNA codon recognition, and the 3' end, to which the tRNAs corresponding amino acid is attached (by aminoacyl-tRNA synthetases). tRNAs cope with the degeneracy of the genetic code in two manners: having more than one tRNA (with a specific anti-codon) for a particular amino acid; and 'wobble' base-pairing, i.e. permitting non-standard base-pairing at the 3rd anti-codon position. The record is from Rfam. Lineage: Eukaryota; Metazoa; Chordata; Mammalia; Carnivora; Felidae.
GCUUUGCUGGCUCAGUGGGUGGAGCAUGUGACUCUUGAUCUCAGGAUCAUGAGUUCAAGCCCCAUACUGGGUG